Molecule: ribosomal RNA, 253 nt
Filed under: uncultured bacterium
Lineage: Bacteria
Description: partial 16S ribosomal RNA
Rfam family: Bacterial small subunit ribosomal RNA
Source: RNAcentral
GACGUAGGGCGCGAGCGUUGUCCGGAUUUAUUGGGCGUAAAGAGCUCGUAGGCGGCUUGUUGCGUCGGCUGUGAAAUCUCGUGGCUUAACUGCGGGCUUGCAGCUGAUACGGGCGGGCUAGAGUUCGGUAGGGGAGACUGGAAUUCCUGGUGUAGCGGUGAAAUGCGCAGAUAUCAGGAGGAACACCCGUAGCGAAGGCGGCACUCUGGGCCGAUACUGACACUGAGGAGCGAAAGCGUGGGGAGCGAACAGG